This 474-nucleotide ribosomal RNA is filed under the name uncultured bacterium. Its description in RNAcentral is "partial 16S ribosomal RNA". It matches the Rfam family "Bacterial small subunit ribosomal RNA", at positions 28 to 507 of the family's 1533-position model. The record is from RNAcentral.
GAUGAACGCUCGCGGCAGGCCUAACACAUGCAAGUCGAGGGAGGGGCCUUCGGGCUUCGACCGGCGUACGGGUGCGUAACGCGUAUACAAUCUGCCUUUCACAUAGGGAUAGCCCGAAGAAAUUUGGAUUAAUACCUAAUGGUAUAUAGAUGUGGCAUCACCUUUAUAUUAAAGCUGAGGCGGUGAAAGAUGAGUAUGCGUUCUAUUAGCUAGUUGGAGAGGUAACGGCUCCCCAAGGCGACGAUAGAUAGGGGUUCUGAGAGGGAUAUCCCCCACACUGGUACUGAGAUACGGACCAGACUCCUACGGGAGGCAGCAGUGAGGAAUAUUGGACAAUGGUCGGAAGACUGAUCCAGCCAUGCCGCGUGCAGGAAGACGGCCUUAUGGGUUGUAAACUGCUUUUGCAGGGGAAGAAUAAGGACUACGCGUAGUUUGAUGACGGUACUCUGCGAAUAAGCAUCGGCUAACUCCGUG